UGUGAUGCGGCGGUUUUGCUGAGAUGGAAGUCGCUGCAUGCAUCCUAGUGUCCGGAGGUUCUAGUGGCGGUGAGGUUGUUGCCGGAUUUCGCACAAAUACAUCUGGCUUAGACGGAGCUACCACAAGUAGGUCGACAUCAAGUUGUGGAUCGCCAGACUUGCACAAGACAAUUUUUUUAUCCUAGUUGGAGUCUCUUCACCUCCCUUUUCGGACACAACUUCCUCAUCCUCAGAACUCGAGUCAUCAGUAGAUGGGUUGUUGCGGUUGUUGUCGCCGUUUCUGUUGUUGUUAUUGUUUUUAUUGCUGUUGUAGUUUCGGUUGUUGUUAGCGAUGUCGUCCCCCUUAGUCGUCAAUGUCGUCAACUUAUCCGAUAGAGCUUUGACCAUUGUAGCUAAAUCGUCAAAGUCUGCCCUCG
This 416-nucleotide long non-coding RNA is filed under the name Trifolium pratense (red clover). RNAcentral's name for it is "long non-coding RNA (TPRA_LNC001463)". Lineage: Eukaryota; Viridiplantae; Streptophyta; Magnoliopsida; Fabales; Fabaceae. The record is from RNAcentral.